Molecule: long non-coding RNA, 1011 nt
Organism: Eucalyptus grandis
Lineage: Eukaryota; Viridiplantae; Streptophyta; Magnoliopsida; Myrtales; Myrtaceae
Exons: 3
Source: RefSeq, a predicted model, not a curated record
CAAGCCGACCUGAUGGCCCGAGCGCGCCCAACUGAGCUCCGCCACCUACCUUACGCACUCCGAUAGCGCUCGGUCACUUGGCAAACAACUCAGAAGCUUCGCCGCUUCCAGCGGCGAUUCGGUGGAUCGUACCGUCGAUAUUCUCUCCCUCUCUCUUUCGCACCACCCAUCGGCAAACCCCGAUUAGGAUCGCCAGAUUCUUGCCCAAGAGCAAUCGCCAUGGGAACUUCAGAGUCCACGCUCUCCGGAUCGCGGGUAACUCUCGAUCCUUUCGCCUCCGCCAGCUCAUCCGAAUCUUCGCAAGGCUCACUCCCAAAUCGUUACUGAACGGCCGUUGUUUCCUCUUGAAGAGACCAGCCGACGAAGUCACCACCAUCUCUGAGCGACCGGAGGGCGUCGAUCCCGUCCUGGAGAAGCUCAGGUCCCUCGAGAUCAUUGUAGACGCCUCCCAUUCUCACGUCGCUGCCGUCCGAGAGCAGCUUGACCGACAUUUUGGUUAGGAAGCCGCCGUCUUCAUCGGCUCCAGGAACAGUAAAUCCGAAGGUGCUACUGAAGCUAUUCUCGAUGUAACGCGAGUGGCACGAGGAGAAGGUUCAAAAGAUUGGCAAGAAACAGGUGCGCCUUUGCGUCGGUCGAUGCAUGUACUAUAUACAGACGCUAGGACCUUUCGAUGAAAAGAUCGUCAAAAGGGAUUUUAGACGAAAGGAAGUAUCUAGUUCUUCGAUAUAUGAACUCAUUAGCCUGUGUUUCCUUAGAUGGACUAGUUCGAAGUGGAAGAAUAUUGAGAGGCUCCAAUUUAGAACUAGUCAGGAAUCUGUAAAGAGUUCUUAUGGCUUUUUGGGGGCAAUCAACUUGUUGCCGUUUCUUUUGGUUCGAUCUUUCAGAAUUCUCUCUGGUGAAAGAUUACUUGGAAAGAUUGAAAGACCUGAAGCUAGUUUUAUAUAUUCGAUCUGUAAAAUGUAGAUAUGUGCUUCAAAGGAUUUAUGGAGAUCCCCAUUUCUUUGUUUUUCA